UGCAAACUAGUGGCAGCACAGAGAGGAAUUCAGGUUUGAGCACUAAAGCCUCAAAGGGACCUGCUGUGUCCGAGGUGGCUGAGUCAGUGCACGAACUGCACACACACGCACACCCUUCUGGAUUUCAUCACGCCGGCACUUCCCUGGUCGCUCUUCUUGCUAUCUGAAUAUCACACUGUAUUGUAAUAAGUGGCCCUCCCCUCUUCCCUUGCCCUGUGAGAAUCAAGUGC
RNAcentral lists this long non-coding RNA (230 nucleotides) under Fukomys damarensis (Damara mole-rat). RNAcentral describes it as "lncRNA (ENSFDAG00000026871.1)". The record is from RNAcentral. Lineage: Eukaryota; Metazoa; Chordata; Mammalia; Rodentia; Bathyergidae.